Molecule: transfer RNA, 77 nt
Filed under: bacterium
Lineage: Bacteria
Description: tRNA-Val
Rfam family: tRNA
About the family: Transfer RNA (tRNA) molecules are approximately 80 nucleotides in length. Their secondary structure includes four short double-helical elements and three loops (D, anti-codon, and T loops). Further hydrogen bonds mediate the characteristic L-shaped molecular structure. tRNAs have two regions of fundamental functional importance: the anti-codon, which is responsible for specific mRNA codon recognition, and the 3' end, to which the tRNAs corresponding amino acid is attached (by aminoacyl-tRNA synthetases). tRNAs cope with the degeneracy of the genetic code in two manners: having more than one tRNA (with a specific anti-codon) for a particular amino acid; and 'wobble' base-pairing, i.e. permitting non-standard base-pairing at the 3rd anti-codon position.
Source: RNAcentral
GGGCGCGUAGCUCAGUUGGUUAGAGUACUAGCUCGACAAGCUAGGUGUCACUGGUUCGAGUCCAGUCGCGCCCACCA